Molecule: ribosomal RNA, 253 nt
Filed under: uncultured bacterium
Lineage: Bacteria
Description: partial 16S ribosomal RNA
Rfam family: Bacterial small subunit ribosomal RNA
Source: RNAcentral
UACAGAGGUCUCAAGCGUUGUUCGGAUUCAUUGGGCGUAAAGGGUGCGUAGGUGGCGCCGUAAGUCAGGUGUGAAAUCUCGGGGCUCAACCCCGAAACUGCACUUGAUACUGCGGUGCUCGAGUACUGGAGAGGAGAUUGGAAUUUACGGUGUAGCAGUGAAAUGCGUAGACAUCGUAAGGAAGACCAGUGGCGAAGGCGAAUCUCUGGACAGUUACUGACACUGAGGCACGAAGGCCAGGGGAGCAAACGGG